RNAcentral lists this unclassified non-coding RNA (401 nucleotides) under soil metagenome. Its description in RNAcentral is "partial contains 5.8S ribosomal RNA, internal transcribed spacer 2, and large subunit ribosomal RNA". The stretch from base 1 to 121 matches the Rfam family "5.8S ribosomal RNA", at positions 35 to 154 of the family's 154-position model. The record is from RNAcentral.
GAUGAAGAACGUAGCGAAAUGCGAUAAGUAAUGUGAAUUGCAGAAUUCAGUGAAUCAUCGAAUCUUUGAACGCACCUUGCGCCCCUUGGUUGUUCCAAAGGGCAUGCCUGUUUGAGUAUCAUGAACACCUCAACUCUUGUGGUUUCCCACAAUGAGCUUGGACUGUGGAGGUUUUGUUGGCCCUGUGGUCAGCUCCUCUCAAAUGGAUCAGCUUACCGGUGUUUGGUGGCAUUACGGGUGUGAUAACUAUCUACGCUCGUGGUCGUCUCCAAAUAACCUCCAGUGAUGGAGGUUCGCUGGAGCUUAUAAAUGUCUCUCCCCAGUGAAGACAGCCUUUGAACGUUCGAUCUCAAAUCAGGUAGGACUACCCGCUGAACUUAAGCAUAUCAAUAAGCGGAGGA